GUGCUCACUUUGGCAGCACAUAUACUAAACUUGGAACAACAGAGAUUAGCAUGGUCCCUGCGCAAGUAUGACAUGCAAAUUCAUGAAGCAUUCCAUAUUUUU
Perognathus longimembris pacificus (Pacific pocket mouse) is the source of this 102-nucleotide small nuclear RNA. The record is from RefSeq and is a predicted model, not a curated record. Lineage: Eukaryota; Metazoa; Chordata; Mammalia; Rodentia; Heteromyidae.